GACGAACGCUGGCGGCGUGCUUAACACAUGCAAGUCGAACGGAAAGGCCCUGCUUUUGUGGGGUGCUCGAGUGGCGAACGGGUGAGUAACACGUGAGUAACCUGCCCUUGACUUUGGGAUAACUUCAGGAAACUGGGGCUAAUACCGGAUAGGAGCUCCUGCUGCAUGGUGGGGGUUGGAAAGUUUCGGCGGUUGGGGAUGGACGCGCGGCUUAUCAGCUUGUUGGUGGGGUAGUGGCUUACCAAGGCUUUGACGGGUAGCCGGCCUGAGAGGGUGACCGGCCACCUUGGGACUGAGAUACGGCCCAGACUCCUACGGGAGGCAGCAGUGGGGAAUAUUGCACAAUGGGCGGAAGCCUGAUGCAGCAACGCCGCGUGCGGGAUGACGGCCUUCGGGUUGUAAACCGCUUUCGCCUGUGACGAAGCGUGAGUGACGGUAAUGGGUAAAGAAGCACCGGCUAACUACGUG
This 468-nucleotide ribosomal RNA is filed under the name uncultured bacterium. RNAcentral's name for it is "partial 16S ribosomal RNA". It matches the Rfam family "Bacterial small subunit ribosomal RNA", at positions 28 to 507 of the family's 1533-position model. The record is from RNAcentral.